GAUGAACGCUGGCGGCGUGCUUAACACAUGCAAGUCGAACGAGAAGUGGAGACGGAAACCUUCGGGCGGAAGACUUUACUUCGAGUGGCGGACGGGUGAGUAACGCGUGGGUAACCUGCCUCAUACAGGGGGAUAACAGUUGGAAACGACUGUUAAUACCGCAUAAGACCACAGCACCGCAUGGUGCGGGGGUAAAAACUCCGGUGGUAUGAGAUGGACCCGCGUUCGAUUAGCCAGUUGGCGGGGUAACGGCCCACCAAAGCGACGAUCGAUAGCCGAUCUGAGAGGAUGACCGGCCACAUUGGGACUGAGACACGGCCCAAACUCCUACGGGAGGCAGCAGUGGGGAAUAUUGCACAAUGGGGGAAACACUGAUGCAGCGACGCCGCGUGAGUGAAGAAGUAUUUCGGUAUGUAAAGCUCUAUCAGCAGGGAAGAAAAUGACAGUACCUGAGUAAGAAGCCCCGGCUAACUACGUG
RNAcentral lists this ribosomal RNA (478 nucleotides) under uncultured bacterium. RNAcentral describes it as "partial 16S ribosomal RNA". It matches the Rfam family "Bacterial small subunit ribosomal RNA", at positions 28 to 507 of the family's 1533-position model. The record is from RNAcentral.